Molecule: ribosomal RNA, 1433 nt
Filed under: metagenome
Description: bacterial SSU rRNA
Rfam family: Archaeal small subunit ribosomal RNA
Source: RNAcentral
ACCCGUUGAUCCUGCGGGAGGUCACUGCUAUUAGGGUUUGACUAAGCUAUGCAAGUUUGCUCACUUCGGUGGGCGGCGAACGGCUCAGUAACACGUCGACAAUCUGCCCUUAAGUCUGGAAUACCCUUGGGAAACUGAGGCUAAUACCGGAUAGGAGAAUUCUUCUGGAAUGAUGUUUCUUCUAAAGCUUCGGCGCUUAAGGAUGAGUCGGCGGCGGAUUAGGCUGUUGGGGGGGUAAUGGCCCACCAAACCUAAGAUCCGUAGGGGCCUUGAGAGAGGUAGCCCCGAGAAGGACACUGAGAUAAGGGUCCUGGUCCUACGGGAUAUAGCAAGCGCGAAAACUUUACAAUACACGCAAGUGUGAUAAGGAGACCCUAAGUGCUUACACUUCGUGUAGGCUUUUGCCAAGCGUAAAUACCUUGGCGAAUAAGUGGUGGGAAAGACUGGUGCCAGCCGCCGCGGUAACACCAGCGCCACGAGUGGUGACCAUUUUUAUUGGGCUUAAAGCGUCCGUAGCCGGCUUAACAAGUCUUUUGUGAAAUCGUCCAGCUUAACUGGGCGACGUGCAGGAGAAACUGUUAGGCUUGGAACCGGGAGGGGUAAGAAGUAUUCUUGGGGGAGCGGUAAAAUGUUAUAAUCCCAAGAGGACUACCGAUGGCGAAGGCAUCUUACCAGAACGGAUUCGACGGUGAGGGACGAAGGCUAGGGGAGCGAACCGGAUUAGAUACCCGAGUAGUCCUAGCAGUAAACUCUGCGAGCUAGGUGUUGCGUAUUCUUCGUGAAUGCGCAGUGUCGAAGCGAAAGCAUUAAGCUCGCCGCCUGGGGAGUAUAGUCGCAAGACCGAAACUUAAAGGAAUUGGCGGGGGAGCACUACAAGGGGUGCGGCGUGCGGUUUAAUCUAACUCAACGCACAGAAUCUCACCAACAGCGACGGCAGGAUGAAAGUCAGUCUAAAGGGCUUACUUGACGAGCCGAGAGGUGGUGCAUGGCCGUCGUCAGCUCGUGUCGUGAGAUGUCCAGUUAAGUCUGGCAACGAGCGAGACCUGUACCUACAAUUGCUAACGACUCUUUUGAGGAUUGAGCACAAUGUAGGGACUGCCUUGGAAACAAGGAGGAAGGUGCAGGCUACGGUAGGUCUGUAUGCCCCGAAUCUGUUGGGCUACACGCGCGCAACAAUGGUGAAGACAAUGGGAUGCAACUCCGAAAGGAGAAGCUAACCCUCUAAACUUCAUCCCAGUACAGAUUGAGGACUGUAACUCAUCCUCAUGACGCCGGAAUCCCUAGUAAUCAGAGUUUAGCAUACUCCGGUGAAUAUGUCCCUGCUCCUUGCACACACCGCCCGUCAAACCAACCGAGCAGGGUUUGGGUGAGGCUCAGCAUAUUAGCUAAGUCGAAUCCAAGCUCAGUGAGGUGGGUUAAGUCGUCACAAGGUA